GAUGAACGCUGACAGAAUGCUUAACACAUGCAAGUCAACUUGAACUUCGGUUUGGGUGGCGGACGGGUGAGUAACGCGUAAAGAACUUGCCUCACAGAUAGGGACAACAUUUGGAAACGAAUGCUAAUACCUGAUAUUAUGAUUUUAGGGCAUCCUAGGAUUAUGAAAGCUAUAUGCGCUGUGAGAGAGCUUUGCGUCCCAUUAGCUAGUUGGAGAGGUAACGGCUCACCAAGGCGAUGAUGGGUAGCCGGCCUGAGAGGGUGAUCGGCCACAAGGGGACUGAGACACGGCCCGUACUCCUACGGGAGGCAGCAGUGGGGAAUAUUGGAAAAUGGACCAAGAGUCUGAUCCAGCAAUUCUGUGUGCACGAUGAAGUUUUUCGGAAUGUAAAGUGCUUUCAGUUGGGAAGAAAAAAAUGACGGUACCAACAGAAGAAGUGACGGCUAAAUACGUG
This 454-nucleotide ribosomal RNA is filed under the name uncultured bacterium. RNAcentral describes it as "partial 16S ribosomal RNA". It matches the Rfam family "Bacterial small subunit ribosomal RNA", at positions 28 to 507 of the family's 1533-position model. The record is from RNAcentral.